This 500-nucleotide ribosomal RNA is filed under the name uncultured bacterium. Its description in RNAcentral is "partial 16S ribosomal RNA". It matches the Rfam family "Bacterial small subunit ribosomal RNA", at positions 30 to 523 of the family's 1533-position model. The record is from RNAcentral.
AUUGAACGCUGGCGGCAUGCCUUACACAUGCAAGUCGAACGGCAGCACGGGGGCAACCCUGGUGGCGAGUGGCGAACGGGUGAGUAAUAUAUCGGAACGUGCCCUAGAGUGGGGGAUAACUAGUCGAAAGAUUAGCUAAUACCGCAUACGAUCUACGGAUGAAAGUGGGGGAUCGCAAGACCUCAUGCUCCUGGAGCGGCCGAUAUCUGAUUAGCUAGUUGGUAGGGUAAAAGCCUACCAAGGCGACGAUCAGUAGCUGGUCUGAGAGGACGACCAGCCACACUGGAACUGAGACACGGACCAGACUCCUACGGGAGGCAGCAGUGGGGAAUUUUGGACAAUGGGGGCAACCCUGAUCCAGCAAUGCCGCGUGAGUGAAGAAGGCCUUCGGGUUGUAAAGCUCUUUUGUCCGGAACGAAACGCGCUGAGCUAAUACCUCGGCGUAAUGACGGUACCGGAAGAAUAAGCACCGGCUAACUACGUGCCAGCAGCCGCCGUAA